Molecule: RNA transcript, 4624 nt
Organism: Gopherus evgoodei (Goodes thornscrub tortoise)
Lineage: Eukaryota; Metazoa; Chordata; Testudines; Testudinidae
Gene: MAPK9
Gene name: mitogen-activated protein kinase 9
Exons: 13
Source: RefSeq, a predicted model, not a curated record
CCGGACCUGGCGCGGCCCGUGAGGGGGCCGCGAGGAGAGGCCAUUGUGGCGAGGGAGGCCUUGGGAGGUGGAGGAGCGAAGCGGCUGCCGCGGGACCCAAGCGCCGAGCCUCAAGAGCAGACGAUCUUGAAAACUGUGCCAGGUCCUUGGGGGAAAAAAAACUACAUGACACUGCAACAUGAGUGACGGUAAAUGUGAUAGUCAGUUUUACAGUGUUCAAGUCGCAGAUUCCACAUUCACUGUACUAAAACGGUACCAACAAUUGAAGCCCAUAGGAUCUGGGGCUCAGGGCAUUGUUUGUGCUGCAUUUGAUACAGUCCUUGGGAUAAAUGUUGCCGUAAAGAAGCUGAGUCGUCCUUUUCAGAACCAAACACAUGCAAAAAGAGCUUACAGGGAGCUUGUUCUUUUAAAAUGUGUCAAUCACAAAAACAUAAUUAGUUUGUUAAAUGUAUUCACACCGCAGAAAUCACUGGAAGAAUUUCAAGAUGUGUAUUUGGUUAUGGAACUGAUGGAUGCUAAUUUGUGCCAGGUUAUUCAUAUGGAGUUGGAUCAUGAAAGAAUGUCCUACCUUCUCUACCAGAUGUUGUGUGGUAUCAAACAUCUCCAUUCAGCUGGUAUCAUCCACAGAGAUUUGAAACCCAGCAAUAUAGUAGUAAAAUCAGACUGUACACUCAAAAUCCUUGAUUUUGGACUGGCAAGAACAGCAUGUACUAAUUUUAUGAUGACUCCGUAUGUAGUAACACGGUAUUACAGAGCACCGGAAGUUAUCCUCGGCAUGGGAUACAAAGAGAAUGUUGAUAUCUGGUCAGUUGGGUGCAUCAUGGGAGAAUUGGUGAAAGGUUGUGUGAUAUUCCAAGGCACUGAUCAUAUUGAUCAGUGGAAUAAAGUUAUUGAACAGUUAGGAACACCAUCAGCAGAUUUUAUGAAGAAACUACAGCCUACUGUGAGGAAUUAUGUAGAAAACAGACCAAAAUAUCCGGGUAUCAAAUUUGAAGAGCUCUUCCCAGAUUGGAUAUUUCCAUCGGAGUCUGACCGUGACAAAUUAAAAACAAGUCAAGCUAGAGAUUUAUUAUCAAAAAUGUUGGUAGUAGACCCAGACAAACGAAUUUCUGUAGAUGAAGCCUUACGAGAUCCAUAUAUCACGGUCUGGUAUGAUCCAGCUGAAGCGGAAGCACCUCCUCCUAAAAUCUAUGAUGCACAGCUGGAAGAAAGAGAACAUGCCAUUGAAGAAUGGAAAGAAUUAAUAUACAAAGAAGUAAUGGAUUGGGAAGAAAGAAGCAAGAAUGGUGUGGUAAAAGAUCAGCCCUCAGAUGCAGCAGUGAAUAGCAACACCAGUCCUUCCCAGUCAUCAUCGAUCAAUGACAUUUCAUCCAUGUCAACUGAGCAAACGUUGGCUUCAGAUACAGACAGCAGCCUUGAUGCCUUGACAGGACCCCUUGAAGGAUGCCGAUGAUCAGCCAGGAUUGCAGACUUAACAUUGGAAAAAAAACUCGUUUCCAUUGGCCUGAAUUGCUUCGGCACUUUGGCAGCAGCUCAAAGACAAAGAGACGGACUGAGGGAUCCGCCACCGAAUUCCCAACAAAGACCAGGACGGCCGCUCCAACAGGGAUGCAAGAGGAGGAGGAUUUGGGUCUUAAAGCUCUGUGAAACCUACCAUUAAAACAACAGAAAACCUUUUCCCCUCUUCUGAUUUUACAGACAUCAAAAGGGCAGAACUCUGUUCUUUUUGUUCAGGAUGCCUUUUUGGGGAAGUGAGGGAGUGUCUUAUUUUCCAGUGGGAUCUGCAUCGUAGCCAUUUCAUUUCUAUACCUAGCCAGCCAUGAUCACUGCAGCUAAACUAUAGUGAAAUGGGUACCCAGACACUCAUCCUUGCUCUGCAGAACUAUUGGCAUUUGCUGUGGUACCGGGCUAUUGACAGCCAUUGUAUAAGAGAGCAACUGUAUAUGCAAGACAAUAAAUGUCUCGAUUUUCUAGCUUCAAUUUUGCAUGAGAGGGAGAGAAGGACGUUGUCAGUUUCACUGAGCUGUCAAUGGAUGAUCAGAAAUUAGAUGUGUUCUAUAAACUGCACCGUCUGGUGCUGGUGUAUGUGUGUUGGCGAAUGGAAAGCCAUCUUGGUCCCAUCCAGCUAACAGGUGAGAGUGACAGAGUGGCAACACAUGCAGCUUGCACAUUUUUACGGUUUAACAAAAGGAUCCUUACAAAAUGUACAGAAAUCUGGCUUGGUGUUUGCCUCUGUUCUUCCCUUCACUGCUUUUGACUUAAACAGUGGUUACUUGAUUGCUUUAAAGGAAGUUUAGGUUCUGGGUUUGCAACUUUUUGGGACCCACCAUUUUUUAAAUGUGUAACUGGCUAAAAUUGUUUCUUAUUCUUAGUUUUGUUAUUUAUAAAAUAACUCCUGCUGCAUUAGAACUGAGGAGCACAACCCAGAAAUGCAAAACUGCCUCUCCUGUGUUUAUUUUAUUGGAAACAGUUUUACUGUCAUUGCCAUUUAAUUUUUGUAUUAAUUAUGCAAACAUCGAAGGUGAGAAGUCAAAGUCAAUGUUGAGAAUUAAGCCAAUGCUAAGCAUUUCUGAAAAUCUCACUCUGUCUGCUUCAAAAGGCCAUUCUCUUUAACUCGGGCUUGGAACUCCUGUUGAUGGGAGCUACUGAAUGAAAAGAAAAGAUGAAAAGAAUCUUAAUGUCAGUUAAAAAAAAACAAUCAGACUCCUGUCACUUGAGUGAUGAUGCCAGCUUUAAAUACAGUCUAGACAUCUGAAGUAGUCAUCAGAAUGAUGUGACAUUAGUUCUGCAUUUCCAGCUAGCAGUUUCUUAAGUCCACUUUUAUUUAGAUCUCACUUUUCCCAGUAAUGUAUAACCUUGAAAUGUUCUAUUUUUCAGCAGGGAUAUAUAUAUUUUCCCCUCCUGCAUCUGAUUCUGCAAAACUGUAAUGUAGAGAAAGGAGAAGCCUUUUCUCUUGUCCCUUUUUGCUGAUUUCGGUUGUUUCCUUUCUCUGACAAUUUUUCUGUGCUGUGGGUAACCUCUUGUGUGAAGAACAAUGAAAAGCACAUUAAAAAAGAUCCUAUCUUAAUGCCAUUCAUCUUAUUACUGUUUCCUAAAAACUGGCAUCAGGUGUUUGCUGGUGCAGAGGAUAGUGGCUAAUGUGGCUGGACAGAUAGUAUUUUGCCUCCAAAGUGCUAUCAAUCAUAAGCAGAGCUGGUUGGAAAAGCAGAUUUGUUUGUGAAAUUUUCUGGCAGAAAAUUUAGUUCCUUUCUGUUUUGUUGUUUAUCUUGAAAUGUUUUGACCACCUCUAUAGCUGCUGUGGGGAAAGGGAUGAUUUUCUGCAAACAACGUACAGUAUCAUGUUAAUGUCGAAAAAUCACAAUUUGGAAUAUUUCAACCAGCUCUGGUGAGUCAAGAACGAAGAAUUUUGUUACAUGAGAUCAGGUCUCAUCUAGUCUAGUAUCUUGUUUUUGAUAGAGGUCAGCACCAGAUGCUUCAGAGGAAGAUCCAGGAAUCAUAGAAUAUCAGGGUUAGAAGGUACUUCAGGAGGUCAUCUAGUCCCUGGAAUAGGAUAAUUUGCCCAUAGAGGAAUUAUCUUCCACAUCUCUGUCAGCUGGUGGUCACCCAGGCCCUAUUGCAUGAAGGUUGAUACCCACCUCUUUUCAUCCUAAUGUAAUUUUGGAUAUUCUCUUUAUCCAAAUAAACACCUGAUUCUCUUAAAAAUCGUACUAAGCUCCUGGCCUCAGAAUGAGUUCCUCCACCAAUUACUUAUGCAUUGUGUAAAAAUGACAGACUCACAGAGCUUCAAUGGGGACUGUGAAGCUCUUGUUACUUAUUAGGCACAGCUGGUUGGAAUCAGACACUGAAUAAAGCAGAGCUCCUGCAACCACCUCACGCCAUGUGUGAUCGCUGAACACCACAUGAGAUCUGUAAGUCAGACACAUACAGCUAGCUGACACUGUGUGAAUGGCGGAAAUUUCCCACAGCCAAGGUGUAAAGUGAUGAGUAAAGAACCGAAGACAGAGCCCUGCGGUACCCCCAUAUACAGCAGGAGAGGAGAGAAAGAUCCACACAAAGAGCUGCUGAAGGAACAGCUGGAGGGAGAGGAAGAAAACCAGGAGAGGGCUGUUUUGAAAGCCUAGUGGGCCUGUAAUUAACAUAAAUUGUUAAAAACGGAUGACUGGUGUGGCAGAACUAUGGUUGCUUUGUUCAGUCUAAGAGCCCAGAUUAAUUUGAGGACAGCAUAAUAAAUGUCACGAAGGAAUGUUCUGGGGGCCAUUAGAGCUGGGCCAGAUUCAUUUAGCAGAUUGGCUAACUUUAUUGUGCCCCGGGAUGUAGACCGUUAGGCACUGAGUGCUGUAUUUCUCUGCAGUGCUUAGUGUAGAGGGAAGUGUGUUUUAUUUCUGUCCAGGCCAGAGGUGUGUGGCGGAGAGGCUCUAGUUUGUUGUUUAUGUAAAAUAGUCUAGGUAGUUUUGUUAGUUUUUUGUGUUACUUGCAGCAGCUACAGGCUCCAACUGCAUUCAGGACCUCAUUGUGCUAAGUGCUACACAAACACAUCAUGAGAGAGAGUCCCUCCCCACAAGAACUUGCAAUCUAAAUAGGCAACACAGAUGAAUGGGAGGGGAGAGGAAGCAGAGGCAAAGAG